This 468-nucleotide ribosomal RNA is filed under the name uncultured bacterium. Its description in RNAcentral is "partial 16S ribosomal RNA". It matches the Rfam family "Bacterial small subunit ribosomal RNA", at positions 28 to 507 of the family's 1533-position model. The record is from RNAcentral.
GACGAACGCUGGCGGCGUGCUUAACACAUGCAAGUCGAACGGAAAGGCCCUGCUUUUGUGGGGUGCUCGAUUGGCGAACGGGUGAGUAACACGUGAGUAACCUGCCCUUGACUUUGGGAUAACUUCAGGAAACUGGGGCUAAUACCGGAUAUGAUCUCCUGCUGCAUGGUGGGGUUUGGAAAGUUUCGGCGGUUGGGGAUGGACUCGCGGCUUAUCAGCUUGUUGGUGGGGUAGUGGCUUACCAAGGCUUUGACGGGUAGCCGGCCUGAGAGGGUGACCGGCCACAUUGGGACUGAGAUACGGACCAGACUCCUACGGGAGGCAGCAGUGGGGAAUAUUGCACAAUGGGCGGAAGCCUGAUGAAGAAACGCCGCGUGCGGGAUGACGGCCUUCGGGUUGUAAACCGCUUUCGAAUGUGACGAAGCGUGAGUGACGGUAAUGGGUAAAGAAGCACCGGCUAACUACGUG